UUUUUUUUGUAGAGACAAGAGUUUCACCAUGUUGCCCAGGCUGGUCUAGAACUCCUGGGCUCAUGUGAUCUGCCCGCCUUGGUCUCCCGAAGUGCUGGGAUUACAAAUGUGAGCCACCGCGCCCAGCCAGGAAUGAAUCUUCUAUCUGUGAAAUCAUGAAGAAGGAAAAACGAAUUCUAGUUUUGCUGCCACACCUUAAACUGCAAAAGUUAGGGCCACAGUGCAUGACAAAAGCUUAGUUAAGAUGGAAAAGGCAUAAAAUUUGUGGGUAGAAGACAUGAACAGAAACAUCUUCCAACUGAUGGCAACUGGGCCUGGCACUAUCCUUGGGGCUUCACGCAUCCACUGUGGGUUCUGGAAUAGAUCCUCUGUGGAUAAGGGGGGACUACUGCAUUUUAGAACUGCAAUUGACCAAGAUUUUUUGUAAAGGGCCAGAUAAUAAAUAUUUUAGGGUAUGGGAGCCAUACAGUCUCUGUCCCAACCAUUCUCCUUUGCUGCUGAAGCACACAAGCAGCCAAAACCAGGUAAACGAAUGUGUGAGGCUGUGUUCCCGCAGGUGGGGCUAGAUUGGGCUCACAGGAUCUGGUCUGAUGACCCCAUUUUGGAGGACUCAACAGGCCCAAAUGUUUGAUAGGAAAGGAAUAAUCAGGGCUAAGGAAUUUAAAACAGAAAAUCAGGUUAAGUUUAAGUAGUUCAUGCUAACAUCAGCAAAGCCAGCAUCUAGCACUUUAGUUAUAAGCUUCUAAAAUGUGAGGAAGACAAUUUGUUGCAGUUAAAAACCAAACAAAACUUGCUUAGGAAAUAACGUAUUCACUUCCUUAUAGGGUGACCCUUGGGCAAAUCACAACUGCAAGCUCAGUUUCCUCAUUUGAAAUUUACCUGUUUGGGCUCUAAGGGCUGUGUGGAAAUUCUAUGAAUUCUAACACUUAGAGCCAGAUGUUCAGAAGAAACAGACAGCUGGCUCCAUCUACCUUGCAUUGGCCAACCAGAUGCCAGCCUGGCAGGUCCAUGUCCUAGCAGUGGCAUGGUCAGGGACUGUUUGGCCACACAUCAUAAUCCAAGAGGUCCAGUCCCUUGACCCUCCAUUUAAGAUUUAAUCAGAUGCUGGCUUUAAGUUCCCAGAGUCAGCCAGGGAGUACAUGGUUAAAAAACAUUAACUGCUAUCGACAUCUAACUUAAUUUGGUUUAAAAGAACAUUCUGAGCUAAGUAACUGUUGGAAAUUGCAAAGUCAGCACAUGUAAACUGGAAGUCUUGUGCUUUUAUUUUAGGGACUGGACUUCCUAUUUCAGGUAACUGGUACCAAGCUAGGAUCUAUUUCACUAACUUGGAGGAAAGACCAAAGGAAAGACCAAUGGUCAAAAUUCUUGACCAUUCUUAUUGUACUAAUGGGAUUAUCCAUAUAAAAACAGUUAUUUCAUUUAAGUGAUAUAAAAUAAUAAAUAUUAUCUUUUUAUAUUGUUACCUGGCUUUAGUUUACUGGUGUCCAUGCCACUUUGGCACUAUAUACAUUAUUUAAAAGCAAACAAUGAACAGUCUAUCAUCGAGUUUUUCUACUCAUUCACAUUCAUUUGUCUCUAAUUUGGACUAAAGAUAAAAUUUAAUACAAAGACGGCUAAAAAAUUAAGUGAUAACUUUCCAUCAACUUAGGACAUCAUUCUUCCCUCUCUUACAGUCUGAAGGUAGGAACUAAAAUAUUCCUUUCCCAGUGAAAGUUUGAUUUUUAAACUUCAUGAUCUUCAAGCAAAAGAUAAAUGACAAGGUUCCUGCCACCAGCAGCUCAAAUGCAUGGUGUACUGACACCCAGUGUUACUGCUGAAAAGUUACUAAGAAGGACCGUGUGGGGAACAAAUCUGACAUAGCAGGUGACAGCUAAACAUCCUUUAUACCUCCAUAUCGUGCAAUGGGCUUAUAUAUUUCAACAUCUGAGUUUACACCUUCUAUUUUCAUUGUGUGUUUAAUAUAUUAAAUUCACCAGCAAACAUUCAAGUUUCUGUAGUAGGGGUUUCUGAGAAAUGAAAUGAAGGCAUAUACUCUUGCAAGCUCUAGGGAACAGGUGAACAGGGCAGCAGUGGGUCGCAGCUUACUUAAAGAAGCCCCAAGUGUCACCAAUGCAAACAAGUGGUACCAUGACAAUAAUCACAGCACGAAAAUAACAAGAGCCCCAUGUUUGGUGGGGAGCAGGGCUGUACCUCUGGCUAAAGUAACAACUGGCAGUGGAGAACAAAAGUUUCAAAAGCUUGAUUUUCCCAGCACAACGGGCUGAUGCAAU
This 2270-nucleotide long non-coding RNA is filed under the name Homo sapiens (human). RNAcentral's name for it is "HSALNT0368782". The record is from RNAcentral. Lineage: Eukaryota; Metazoa; Chordata; Mammalia; Primates; Hominidae.